RNA transcript from Chrysochloris asiatica (Cape golden mole), 701 nucleotides. It is a transcript of the gene named superoxide dismutase 2, mitochondrial pseudogene, with no coding region annotated. Lineage: Eukaryota; Metazoa; Chordata; Mammalia; Afrosoricida; Chrysochloridae. The record is from RefSeq and is a predicted model, not a curated record. The transcript has a single exon.
AUGUUGUGCCAGGAGGCAUGCAGCAUACGCCUUGAAGCUGAUAUUAACUCUGGAACCUCUGGGCUCCAGGGAAAAGCACAGCCUGCCUGACUUACCUUAAAAUUAUAGUGCCCUGGAGCUUCAUGUUAACACACAAAUCAUGCAACUGCAUCACAGCAAACACCACACCACCUAUGAGAAUAAUGCCAUGGAGGAAAAAUAUAAAAAGGUACUGGCAAAGGGUAAUGCUACAAACCAGGUAGCUCUGCAGCCUGCACUGAAGUUCACCAGCGAAGGCCAUAUCAAUCAGAGCAUUUUCUGGACAAACUUGAGUCCUAAUGGAAAACCCAAAUGGGAGUUGCUGGAAGCCAUCAAACGUGACUUUAGUUCCAUUGACAAGUUUAAGGAGAAAUUAACUGUAUCUGUUGGUGUGCAAUGUCCAGGUUGGAGUUGGCUUGGUUUCAAAAAGGAGCGGGGAUUCUUACAAAUUGCUUCUUGUUCCAAUCAGGACCCAUUACAAGGAACAACAGGUCAGAAUAACACUGCUGGGGAUUGAUGGGUGGGAGCAUGCAUACUACUUUUAUUAUAAAAAUGUCAGACUUGAUUAUCUAAAAGCAAUUUGGAGUGUAAUAUACUGGAAAAAUGUAACUGAAAGAUACAUGGCUUGCAAAAAAAUAAAACAUUAUAUUGAGUGGGUUAAGCUCUUUAUGAUUGUUUUUUAG